GAACGCUAGCUACAGGCUUAACACAUGCAAGUCGAGGGGCAUCAGGAAGAAAGCUUGCUUUCCUUGCUGGCGACCGGCGCACGGGUGAGUAACACGUAUCCAACCUGCCCUUUACUCGGGGAUAGCCUUUCGAAAGAAAGAUUAAUACCCGAUGGCAUAAUGAUUCCGCAUGGUUUCAUUAUUAAAGGAUUCCGGUAAAGGAUGGGGAUGCGUUCCAUUAGGUUGUUGGUGAGGUAACGGCUCACCAAGCCUUCGAUGGAUAGGGGUUCUGAGAGGAAGGUCCCCCACAUUGGAACUGAGACACGGUCCAAACUCCUACGGGAGGCAGCAGUGAGGAAUAUUGGUCAAUGGGCGCUAGCCUGAACCAGCCAAGUAGCGUGAAGGAUGAAGGCUCUAUGGGUCGUAAACUUCUUUUAUAUAAGAAUAAAGUGCAGUAUGUAUACUGUUUUGUAUGUAUUAUAUGAAUAAGGAUCGGCUAACUCCGUGCCAGCAGCCGCGGUAAUACGGAGGAUCCGAGCGUUAUCCGGAUUUAUUGGGUUUAAAGGGAGCGUAGGUGGACUGGUAAGUCAGUUGUGAAAGUUUGCGGCUCAACCGUAAAAUUGCAGUUGAUACUGUCAGUCUUGAGUACAGUAGAGGUGGGCGGAAUUCGUGGUGUAGCGGUGAAAUGCUUAGAUAUCACGAAGAACUCCGAUUGCGAAGGCAGCUCACUGGACUGCAACUGACACUGAUGCUCGAAAGUGUGGGUAUCAAACAGGAUUAGAUACCCUGGUAGUCCACACAGUAAACGAUGAAUACUCGCUGUUUGCGAUAUACAGUAAGCGGCCAAGCGAAAGCAUUAAGUAUUCCACCUGGGGAGUACGCCGGCAACGGUGAAACUCAAAGGAAUUGACGGGGGCCCGCACAAGCGGAGGAACAUGUGGUUUAAUUCGAUGAUACGCGAGGAACCUUACCCGGGCUUAAAUUGCAGUGGAAUGAUGUGGAAACAUGUCAGUGAGCAAUCACCGCUGUGAAGGUGCUGCAUGGUUGUCGUCAGCUCGUGCCGUGAGGUGUCGGCUUAAGUGCCAUAACGAGCGCAACCCUUAUCUUUAGUUACUAACAGGUUAUGCUGAGGACUCUAGAGAGACUGCCGUCGUAAGAUGUGAGGAAGGUGGGGAUGACGUCAAAUCAGCACGGCCCUUACGUCCGGGGCUACACACGUGUUACAAUGGGGGGUACAGAAGGCAGCUAGCGGGUGACCGUAUGCUAAUCCCAAAAGCCUCUCUCAGUUCGGAUCGAAGUCUGCAACCCGACUUCGUGAAGCUGGAUUCGCUAGUAAUCGCGCAUCAGCCACGGCGCGGUGAAUACGUUCCCGGGCCUUGUACACACCGCCCGUCAAGCCAUGGGAGCCGGGGGUACCUGAAGUACGUAACCGCAAGGAUCGUCCUAGGGUAAAACUGGUGACUG
Molecule: ribosomal RNA, 1443 nt
Filed under: uncultured organism
Description: SSU rRNA
Rfam family: Bacterial small subunit ribosomal RNA
Source: RNAcentral